CACUCCUCCAUCGUUUUCGUCACUCCUCCUGGUCUCUCAAAUCGUGAUUCAUCUUGUUCUUCAAACCUUCAAAUCGUGAAAAACCCACUAUCAUAUUCAAUAAAAUGUCACAAUAAUCCAUUUUUAGCCAUGGAAACAGAUCUUUAAAUCGUUCGACGUACAAAUGCAAGUCUUGUCUUGAUGCUCCGUUGAUGACGACAUGGACAGAUGCGAACCCAUGUCAUCGUUUCUAUAGAUGUGGGAUGUAUAAGGUUAGAAGAAAUGCAGUCACUUUGUUUGGUUGGAUGAGAAGAUGAAUUACAGGGCAAAAGAGUUAAUAUAUGCAUUAUUAAAUAACUUGAAUGAGAGAGAGAGAGAGAGAGAGAGAGAGAGAGAGAGAGAGAGAGAGAGAGAGAGAUGAUUAAUCCGUAUAAAGAAAAAGAGGAAGAAUUGAAGAUGAAAUUGAAGAUGUUAAGAAACAGUUGAAGAUAAAUUGGAUGUCGUUAUUUGUUAUGUUGUAUGCAUUUAUUGGGACAACAUUGAUGAAAUAUGUUAUAGGUUAUUAGGUUUUAGGUUAUGUUUCUAUGUUGUUUGCUUUAAUGGUGUAAGGUGAUUAAUUUAGCAAUGUGAAUUAUAAUACUUUCUGAA
Molecule: long non-coding RNA, 627 nt
Organism: Lathyrus oleraceus (garden pea)
Lineage: Eukaryota; Viridiplantae; Streptophyta; Magnoliopsida; Fabales; Fabaceae
Exons: 2
Source: RefSeq, a predicted model, not a curated record